UACGAGCUGAAGCUCUGGGUCACCUCCCACCCGUGUUUAUCGUACCUUGUUGCUUCGGCGGGCCCGCCUCACGGCCGCCGGGGGGCAUCCGCCCCCGGGCCCGCGCCCGCCGAAGACACACAAACGAACUCUUGUCUGAAGAUUGCAGUCUGAGUACUUGACUAAAUCAGUUAAAACUUUCAACAACGGAUCUCUUGGUUCCGGCAUCGAUGAAGAACGCAGCGAAAUGCGAUAAGUAAUGUGAAUUGCAGAAUUCAGUGAAUCAUCGAGUCUUUGAACGCACAUUGCGCCCCCUGGUAUUCCGGGGGGCAUGCCUGUCCGAGCGUCAUUGCUGCCCUCAAGCACGGCUUGUGUGUUGGGCUCUCGCCCCCCGCUUCCGGGGGGCGGGCCCGAAAGGCAGCGGCGGCACCGCGUCCGGUCCUCGAGCGUAUGGGGCUUCGUCACCCGCUCUGUAGGCCCGGCCGGCGCCCGCCGGCGAACACCAUCAAUCUUAACCAGGUUGACCUCGGAUCAUGUAGGGAUACCCGCUGAACUUAAGCAUAC
RNAcentral lists this ribosomal RNA (543 nucleotides) under Penicillium sp. PX-2011c. RNAcentral's name for it is "eukaryotic LSU rRNA". The stretch from base 175 to 328 matches the Rfam family "5.8S ribosomal RNA". Lineage: Eukaryota; Fungi; Ascomycota; Eurotiomycetes; Eurotiales; Aspergillaceae. The record is from RNAcentral.